Macrobrachium nipponense is the source of this 1619-nucleotide long non-coding RNA. RefSeq lists it as uncharacterized. The transcript has 8 exons. Lineage: Eukaryota; Metazoa; Arthropoda; Malacostraca; Decapoda; Palaemonidae. The record is from RefSeq and is a predicted model, not a curated record.
AGAUGACAAGGCGACCUACCGUCCUCCGAAAAUCAGUUUAAUUUUGACUCUGUGAAGUGAGUAAGAUGACUUCUUGGAGCCGGUACUGGGUUUUGUCUAUGUCGAUGAUGUACUGGAUCAUCUCUGCUGCUCAGAAGAAACAAACUCCUUGCGUCUAUGCAGUGCGGGUGUAUUAUGAAUGUUUGUGAAAAAGUGGUGUCUGUAGAUAAAAUAUUUAGGAAACUGUACUGGAUCAUCUUUACUCUGAAGACUUAAAUACAGGGUUGAAGUUCUCUUUCCGGAUUUUGACAUGGAUUGGAGGAUGAUGUACUGGAUCAUCUCUGCUGCUCAGAAGAAACAAACUCCUUGCGUCUAUGCAGUGCGGGUGUAUUAUGAAUGUUUGUGAAAAAGUGGUGUCUGUAGAUAAAAUAUUUAGGAAACUGUACUGUAUCAUCUUUACUCUGAAGACUUAAAUACAGGGUUGAAGUUCUCUUUCCGGAUUUUGACAUGGAUUGGAGGAUGAUGUACUGGAUCAUCUCUGCUGCUCAGAAGAAACAAACUCCUUGCGUCUAUGCAGUGCGGGUGUAUUAUGAAUGUUUGUGAAAAAGUGGUGUCUGUAGAUAAAAUAUUUAGGAAACUGUACUGGAUCAUCUUUACUCUGAAGACUUAAAUACAGGGUUGAAGUUCUCUUUCCGGAUUUUGACAUGGAUUGGAGGAUGAUGUACUGGAUCAUCUCUGCUGCUCAGAAGAAACAAACUCCUUGCGUCUAUGCAGUGCGGGUGUAUUAUGAAUGUUUGUGAAAAAGUGGUGUCUGUAGAUAAAGUAUUUAGGUGAGCAUGCCAUUAAUAGCCUUCCCUUUUCCUUUAGUGUUUUUGUCUUAUUUUUACUAGAAUGCCUCUAAUGGGCAAGUAGACAUAAUCUUUGAGAAAUAAUUAUCUAUUUUAAGGGAACAGCUUCUAAGAUAUAAAAUAAAAUGAACCUUAGGAGGAGAAAAUAUUGAUGGAUAAUGUACGUUAAUAUGAUUUCCUGAAGUUAUAGGAUUCUCUUUUGUUUAGUUCUUUUUUCCUACAAAACUCUCUUGAUAUUAUACUAGAAAUAGUGAAUAUUUGGAACCUAGAUUAAGAGCAUGAUGACAUUCGUAUACAAAAAACAAAUUACCCCUAAAUAGUUUUCCAAACCAUUUGUAAUUCUUGUUCAGUUCCGAUAGUAGUUCCUUUGGUCUGGAAUUAAGAGUGUAGAGCAUGUAAGAAAUUAUUAAUUUGCAACUGUCAUUUUUGACAACGUGAACGCUUAAGCAUUAUGGAAACCUUGAGUGAAAUUGUUAUUAAAAAAUCUGUCGAAACCUAGAUGAUGAUAUUCCUAUUUCGCUUAGUUUCAAUUAAGGGAAGGUGAAGGAUAAUGGUGACUUAAGUUUUUAUUAUUUUCGAAAUUACCACCAUUCUAAAUUGUCACUGUUUAUAAAUUUCAUUCUGUUUGUCUGCAAGUAUUAAACUGAAGAAAAUCGGAAUUUUUUAAUUUUUCAAGUCUACCAAUAUGUAUUUACAGUUAGUUCUGUAAAAAUUAAUGGAGGAAAGACUAUUUCCCGCCAAAUGUUUCAGCGUUUGGUGAGUGAAGAUUUGGUUUAGUAUAGUUUCAAUUGC